This 3130-nucleotide long non-coding RNA is filed under the name Lactuca sativa (garden lettuce). RNAcentral's name for it is "long non-coding RNA (LSAT_LNC003236)". Lineage: Eukaryota; Viridiplantae; Streptophyta; Magnoliopsida; Asterales; Asteraceae. The record is from RNAcentral.
GUUUUUGUAUUCGAUAGGCGUUGCGUUCAGUGGCUAUGGUGGAAUAGUAAGACGCAAGCAAAACGAUUGAUCGAACUGGUGAUGUUUUUUUCUAUUUCCUUUCCUUUGCUUCUUUAUUAAUCAUCAAUGCCCUAAAAUAAUUCCAUAUAAUUUGGAAAUUUCAAGUUCCCCGAGCAUAAUUUAUACUCGAAGUUGUGUUUGAUUUUACUUUGCUUUGCUUCUGUCAAUAACUUGUAAAAUACCAUUUAUUGAUUGUACACUGAUGCGUUUUCAACAUAUUUCUCUGAAGAUUUACAAGUCAAUGACAACACCAAAGUUUCAAAUCACAUACAAUUAUUUAUUUGAAUACAAGUCAGAGUACAAACCCGUUAAUCACAAAAGCAUAAAUCAACAGUAGAUACUAAAUCACAACAAAGUUCACUCCCCAAUUCACAAAAUAUAGAACAGCUGCAGUUAACGAUGCAGAUUGCAGAAUAUAAUAAGCUUCUUAGUCAGUGCAGCAACGAUACAAGAAAAACCUCUCCAUCGAUCGCCCGCAUUCAGCGCAAACAACUCUCUCCGGCACACUUCCGGUGGUUCCGGGCAAAAUCAGGCGAUUGCAGUGAUGCGGCGGCUGGUUUGCCUCAAGAUGAUCAUUCAAAGCCGGCAGAAACCCUCUCUCUUGAGCAUCCCCUUGCCAAUCAUUGUAGUUCGUCAAUCCCUUCAAAACACUUUCGCCACUUGCCCUACGCAUCCAGUCGUUUGAGCCACGGCAGAUCACCGCCCAUCCCUGGUCGUUUCCGUCGUAGGUAAGCAUCACAUUAAUCUCUCUCAAAAUCGGAUCUUCCUCAAAAGACUUCCCGUGUUGUAACUUGGAGUGCAACAUGCUCUCUAGUCGCACCCAGAAGAACCAUAUCAGGGUCAAAUCUGGAAGCACGUAGCUAAGAUUCUCUGAUCGGAUUAUGUCAUUGUUCUUUCUCACUUUCUCCCUAGGGUUACUCUUUCCAACAUACAACAUCUCCAGCUGGAUCCCUGCUGCACGCGCCACCGCCUGUGCGGUGGUUGUAAACCUCCUUAUCCACUCCAAAUCCUCCCCUCCGUACAAACAAAUGUACUUCCCGUCAGCAAUCUACAUGAUAAUCGGGAAAAUAUGAAUAUCAAUCGGAUUAAUUUACAGUAAUUAGGUUAAAAAAGAGAAUAGAAUUAUUAGAAUACCCAAUUGAAAAUCAUUGGCUCGAUGGAAUCUGCUAGCAACUCAAUCCUCCAAGUUUCCUCCUUCCACAGGGCUUCUUCCCUCAAGCUAGUGAAAGGGAAAGCCACACUCCCCCAAAUCCACAUCAUAUGUAACGCGUUGGUGUUAACAAUCCUCCCUUGAGGAUCCAUCACCACCAACAUUGGUUUCUGGUUGAAGUGCCACACCUCCUUGAUGUACUUGAUCGCUGCUGGAUCAAGCAACGAGGGGUGGAACACUGAAUACCAUGGCAUCAUGUUUCUUACCCCCUCGAACUUGAUCUGGUCCUCAUCGGUCCACGGUGUGGACCGAAGAUUGGGAACCACCGGGAGCCAGACGACUUCGUACUGGCUCUCGGGCCUUGUUGGGCUUUGCUUCGCUUCCCUAUACAUCUGGUCAAGAACCGAUAGCUCCUCUGGAGGGAUGUCGAGGUCCGAAAUGAGAAGCAACACAAUCUUUUUCUUUAGUACCUCGAUUGUAACCUAUAUGAUCAUGCAUGAAAACUAAAUUCGAUUAUUUAUUGUAUAUCUAAAAUCUAAAUAUAUAAUAAAGUUUGAUGAAAAUUAUGCAGUUGAUCCGAUCGAACACUCACCCGAGUCUUUGUAGAGCUUUCAUACAAAGGUGGUUGAUCGUCCUUCAAGUAAAUCAAAUGCCUGAGAGGCUUCGUGUUAUCGAGAUGCCCGGUAUCCAUAAUGCGAAGAAUCGUUAGGUACGCUUCAAUCUGCCUCUUUUCAUCUAAUUAUCAGUGUAAAAAAAUUCAACUUAGUUAUGAAAAUUGAUGCAUACACGUUCAUUAAGUGAUGAUAUGUAACAUUUUUGGUCUUACUAAUGUGGUGAUUGCAAAGGUCUAAUUGGUCUUUGAGAUGAUCAUGAAUAUUGCUGAUCUUGUGGGCCAAACUCGAUAACUCCCAAGCUUCUGUGGUCGUCGUAAUAUGCCUAAGUUAAAAAAAAAAAUGUUAUAUUCAUUGAUAAGUUGUAGUAAUGGAAGUAAUUUGUGUUUUUCUAUGAUGAGGGUAUUUAUGUCUUUUGCAUAGAAAAAAAAAAAGAGAAUUGAUAACAUACUCAUGGCCCAUUCCGAUAAGGUUGAUAAGUAUGGACGCACAAGCCACAAUGCUACGGAUAAUCCAAUAAACCGCAGUGGGAAUAUGAGCGGUGGCCGUCAUUAAUUCCGGUGUUUCGGGGGUGAUAUACUGACCGGGGAGCUCUUUAAAUUCAACAAUGCAACGUGUCAACUCAAGCAUGGCCUUAAUGAGGGUGGUGACAGCCUCAAACCUCGGUUUGAGAGCUUCACCACGCUCAAGCACGUCAGGUAGCUGCUUAAGGUGGGCCAGUGAUUUGGCGAGUGGGUUGGCAGUAUAAAGCUGUGCCACCAACCAAAACUCGCCAUAAUUCACUGCAAAAGCUGCUAAAGAAAUAACAGCUUUUGCAUCCCACUCGUAGUUGGAAAGCAUGUUGAAGAUCCCCGUAGUGCUUGCAUGCGCGUCUCCACCACCAAUACACUUGCAAGAAAUCUGUAACACAUUUCAAAUGUAAAAAAUCUAACACAAAAAAAUAGUUCUCAAAAAUUAAAAUGCAUUUUUUUUUACGGUUUUACCUCGCACGAAACCUUAUUGAUUGUGAUUGCCAUUAUUUCAAGCAUCUCGUCAAGAUCGCUGUAAAUCACACGCUCAAUAAUUGCGUCCACUUCCGCUUGAUUACCCUACAAAUAAAAAAUCAAAUUUCAGAAUUCGAUAUUCGAAUAAAUGUAUGGAUUUUAAUUUAUUACAUACAGGAGGGGCGGGUGGUUGGGUGUUGGCGGGGGCGGCCCUACGCAUGAUGUCAUCGAUGAUCUGUAGAAGAGGUUUAACAUCAAAGGAGGAGCCAUCUGGUGCAUGUGUGGCCAAGAUAUGUUUCAUCAUGGCAUUGUCAUCUGAAGAUGAG